Molecule: long non-coding RNA, 4166 nt
Filed under: Cucumis sativus (cucumber)
Lineage: Eukaryota; Viridiplantae; Streptophyta; Magnoliopsida; Cucurbitales; Cucurbitaceae
Description: long non-coding RNA (CSAT_LNC001282)
Source: RNAcentral
CCACCGCCAUGUUCAUUUGGGCAAUCAUUCAACAAUACUUCCCUUACCAUCUUCGUGCCCACAUCGAACGAUACGCUUACAAAUUUCUUGGCUUUCUUAAUCCUUACAUCACAAUCAUUUUCCCUGAAUACACCGGCCAGCGUCUCCGGAAAAGUGAAGCCUUUACCGCUAUUCAGAAUUACCUCAGUUCACGAACCUCAAUUCGAGCUAAGCGUCUAAAGGCAGAGGCGAUCAAAAAUAGCAAAUCUUUGGUUCUUAGUAUGGAUGAUAAUGAAGAAGUUAUUGAUGAAUUUCAAGGCGUUAAGAUUUGGUGGACUUCUAGUAAAACCGUACCCAAAACUCAGAGUAUAUCUUACUACCCUACUUCCGAUGAGAGACGGUUUUACAAACUGACGUUUCACCGGCGACACAGAGAAACCAUUCUUGACUCUUUUAUUCAUCAUAUUAUGGAAGAAGGAAAGGCCGUCGAGUUGAAAAACCGGCAACGGAAGCUUUAUAUGAACAAUUCCGGUGAGAGUUGGUGGCAUAAAAGUAGUUGGAGACAUGUACCUUUUGAGCAUCCAGCCAAUUUCCGUACUCUGGCUAUGGAUCCGAAGAAGAAACAAGAGAUUGUGAAUGAUUUAGUGAAGUUUAAGAAUGGGAAAGAGUAUUAUGAGAAAGUGGGAAAAGCUUGGAAACGUGGGUAUCUUCUGUACGGUCCACCAGGAACAGGGAAAUCCACCAUGAUAGCUGCCAUGGCGAAUUUUAUGGAGUAUGAUGUUUAUGAUCUUGAGCUGACGUCUGUUAAGGAUAAUACAGAGUUGAAGAAGUUGUUGAUCGAGAUUUCUAAUAAAUCCAUUAUUGUGAUUGAGGAUAUUGAUUGUUCACUUGAUCUUACGGGGCAACGGAAGAAGAAGAAGAAAACAGAGGAGGAGGAAGAUGAAGCGAAGAAGGAGAUUGAGAAGAAGGCUAAAGAGGAAGAGAAGAAAGAGAGCAAAGUGACGCUCUCUGGGCUGUUGAAUUUCAUAGACGGAAUUUGGUCAGCGUGUGGUGGAGAGAGGUUGAUUAUUUUCACGACGAAUCACAAGGAAAAGCUUGACGAAGCUUUGAUAAGAAGAGGAAGAAUGGACAAACAUAUAGAGAUGUCUUAUUGUGGUUUCGAAGCAUUCAAAGUUCUUGCAAUGAAUUACUUGGAUGUUGAAUGGGAUGAUUCAUACGAUAAAAUUAAGGAGAUGCUAAAAGAGAUAGAAAUGACACCGGCAGACGUGGCGGAGAAUUUGAUGCCAAAAUACGAAGGGGAAGAAACAGGCGAGUGUUUCAAGAGAUUGAUCGAGGGACUUGAGGAUGCAAAAGUGGCAGCUGAGAAGAAGAAAGCAGAUGAAGAAGCUGAAGCAGCAAAAAUGGCAGAGAAAGAGAAGGAGAAGAAGGAAAAAGAGGAGGAGAAGAAAGCUGAGGAAGAAGCAGAAGCUGCUAAAAAGGAAGAGGAGAAGAAGAAGGAAGAAGAAGAAUCGGGCGAGAAGAAAGAAUGUAGUAAAUGCAAUGGGGUAGCAACAAGAGAGGUGAAGGAGAAUGGUCAUGUGGAGAAGAAACAGAACAAUUGAAAAAGAAAAGCAAUGUACGAGCUUGAUGUAUGAAAUUGAAGGUUUAGAUUAGUUUAUUUGUAGAGUCGAUUGGUGUGUUUAUAAAAAAAUGGUUCACUGAUUAUCCGUUGCCAUAUUCUAAUUUUUGACAAAUAUAUAUAUAUAUAUUUCCUCCAUCGAUGGAAUUACCCCAGAAGACCCUACGGUUUUUUUUCAUAGCCAAUUUGUUUUGAUAAAAUAUUUAUACAAUAUAAUAAAAUUUUAGAUUAAAAUAUUUUAUUCUAUAUUCAAAUGAGAAACAAAUAAAAUUUUAAAAUAAUUAUUAUAAAUUUUCAAAUGAGCAUAAAAUAUAUAUAAUUGAGUCAAAAUAUGGGUGUGCUUAUAUAUUAAAUUAUUUUGAUAUAUAGAGAAAUAAAAUAAAGGUAGACCAUAUGUAUAGUAUAUUCAGGAGAAUUUUAAAGCUUCACAAUGCCAAGAGUCACACUCUAUACACAAUCUCUCUCUUACUAUAUGUUUGUUAUAGUUGAAAUUAUUCUUUAUCAUAAUAUUUUAUAGGUUGUUGUUUUUAAAUAUAGCAAAAUAAAUUAAAAAUAGAAUAAAGAAAAUCUAGAAAAUGAACUGUACAAAUUUGGAAUAGAAAAUGAAUAAAUGGCAAUAAAGAAAUGAUAAAUUGUUCGAAAUCUAAAAUUUAUGAAAAAUGUUUUACUGACUUUAUUGGUUUUUCGUUUUUGUUACACGGACCAUAACUAUUUUGAUCUUUUGUUAUAUUUAUGAAAAUUAAUCUUUUUAAAAACUUAUCUUAAGAAAAAAUAUAACUUUGGACAAAAUUAAUUCAUAGUACCUAAUUUGAGUAUUUGUCGCCCCUUUUUAAAUUUACAAAACUUCUUUUGAGUAACUAAUCCAAACAAAGCUUAGUUCAUGCUAAUUGGCACAGCCAAUCUAAUCCAAAAAAUUAUUGAUAUUAUUUUUAAUAUAUAGUAUAUUUUAUUUAAUUAGUCUUUUAGGGUUUUCAAUUCUUUUUUUCUCAAUAAUUAGAAACCACCCAAUAUUAACUAUAUUUUCCACUCGGACCAUCAAAUUGGUCGACUUCGACCGUUUCAGUCCGUUUAAAGCGAUGUUUUCAGUGUUUCCUCGUAAUAUAUCUUGUGGAAAAAUAAGAGCUUAUUUGUUAGAGAAUCCAAAUUUUGUUUUAUGUUUUUAGAUUCACUGUAGUAGAUAUCCAUUUGGCAGAAAAUCUAUAUUCUAUUUAUGAAUUUAGCAGACAGUCGAGAUUCUUUUUCUAAAAAUUAUUUUUGGAUUUUAAGAUUCAAACAAUGCAAAUUUUGAAAACAACACGUUUUUAUAUUUUUAUUGUAUCUAGAAUCUAACUUUUACAAUUAAAAAAGCAUAAUUAAAUUAAUUAUAUUUAAAAUAUCUAAAUGUUAUAUAAAUUUUUAGGUGAAAUUACAAAUUUGAUAGAAGAUAGAAUUGAGUGGUUUAUAACUUGAAUUUAGUUGAUUUAGUUCACUAAAAUCAUACAAAAUAGUCUUACUUGUCAUGACUAACUUUUUACUGAAGUUUUCAUGACUAACAUUUUACUAAGGUUCUCAGACCAUAAUAUUAUAUUUGAUAUUUUAUCAAACUAUAAGUUAAAGUUUAAAUUUCUCCAAACAAUAUGUUCUACCAUUGCAAUGUAACUGGUUUUGUAAACAUAAAUUGUAUUCAUAAAUAAAUUAAUAAUAUCUAAUUCUCAAUUAAGAUAAUCUUAAUGAAUAAAUAUAACUUUAAGAAGUAUAUAAUAGGAAACAUAUUUAGACAUUUUUUAAAACUAGAUAUCAAUUUUACAUAUUUGAAAACAGAUAAUAAGUUUCUGUUUUUGGACAUCCAACGAGCAUCUUCUCUUCUGGUAAAGUCGAGCAUUAGUAUGAGCAUGAUGUUGCUCUUCAAAUAUUUCUUUUGCAGGGGGUUUAGCAGCCAUGAAAACAUAAAUUAAUACAAACCAACUUUCCUUAAUUAAUAACUAAACUAUAAGUCUAUAAUAAUAAUAAUGGUGACUCCUUAGUAUUCUUAAACAAAGACUUCCCACUCUUCCACAAAUUCCCCUCCUCCACUCCUCCACUCCUCCACUCCUCCUCUCCUCCUCUCCUCCUCUCCUCCUCUCCUCAUUCUUCUUAUUUAAACCCCCUUUUCCUUCUCAAAUUCUCCACCAAUAAACCUUUUAAUUCAACAAUUUUCUCAAACAAACAUGACUCAAUUGGCCAUGGGACACCUCUGGAACAAUAUCGGCUCUUUAAUGGCCACCGCCAUGUUCGUUUGGGCAAUCAUCCAACAAUACUUCCCUUACCAUCUCCGUGCCUACAUCGAACGAUACGCUCACAAGUUUAUUGGGUUUCUUUAUCCUUACAUCACAAUCACUUUCCCUGAAUACACCGGCCAGCGUCUCCGGAAAAGUGAAGCCUUUACCGCUAUUCAGAAUUACCUCAGUUCACGAACCUCAAUUCGAGCUAAGCGUCUGAAAGCAGAGGCGGUCAAAGAUAGCAAAUCUUUGGUUCUUAGUAUGGAUGAUAAUGAAGAAGUUAUUGAUGAAUUUCAAGGCGUUAAGAUUUGGUGGACUUCCCGUAAAACCGU